UACGUAGGGUGCAAGCGUUAAUCGGAAUUACUGGGCGUAAAGCGUGCGCAGGCGGUUAUAUAAGUCAGAUGUGAAAUCCCCGGGCUCAACCUGGGCACUGCGUUUGAGACUGUAUGGCUAGAGUGUGUCAGAGGGGGGUAGAAUUCCACGUGUAGCAGUGAAAUGCGUAGAUAUGUGGAGGAAUACCGAUGGCGAAGGCAGCCCCCUGGGAUAACACUGACGCUCAGGCACGAAAGCGUGGGGAGCAAACAGG
This 253-nucleotide ribosomal RNA is filed under the name uncultured bacterium. Its description in RNAcentral is "partial 16S ribosomal RNA". It matches the Rfam family "Bacterial small subunit ribosomal RNA", at positions 524 to 776 of the family's 1533-position model. The record is from RNAcentral.